GAUGAACGCUAGCGGCAGGCCUAACACAUGCAAGUCGAACGGUAAGGCCCAGCUUGCUGGGUACACGAGUGGCGCACGGGUGAGUAACGCGUAUGCAACCUGCCUCGAACAGGGGGAUAGCCCCGAGAAAUUGGGAUUAAUACCCCAUAACGCAUCGGAGCCGCAUGGCUCUGUUGCUAAAGCCCCGGCGGUUCGAGAUGGGCAUGCGUGGCAUUAGCUAGUUGGUGGGUAACGGCUCACCAAGGCGUCGAUGCCUAGGGGUUCUGAGAGGACAGCCCCCCACACUGGUACUGAGACACGGACCAGACUCCUACGGGAGCAGCAGUGGGGAAUCUUGGACAAUGGGGGCAACCCUGAUCCAGCCAUGCCGCGUGAGUGAUGAAGGCCC
Molecule: ribosomal RNA, 388 nt
Filed under: uncultured bacterium
Lineage: Bacteria
Description: bacterial SSU rRNA
Rfam family: Bacterial small subunit ribosomal RNA
Source: RNAcentral